Molecule: RNase P RNA, 364 nt
Filed under: Azospira restricta
Lineage: Bacteria; Pseudomonadati; Pseudomonadota; Betaproteobacteria; Rhodocyclales; Rhodocyclaceae
Description: Bacterial RNase P class A
Rfam family: Bacterial RNase P class A
About the family: Ribonuclease P (RNase P) is a ubiquitous endoribonuclease, found in archaea, bacteria and eukarya as well as chloroplasts and mitochondria.
Source: Rfam by way of RNAcentral
GAAGCUGGCCAGGCAACCGCCGGGCGCGCAAGCGCCGGGAGGAAAGUCCGGGCUCCGCAGAGCAGGAUGCCGGCUAACGACCGGGCGCUAUAAGGCGCAAGCCCCAAGGCGACGGAAAGUGCAACAGAGAAUAGACCGCCGAUGGCCGCAAGGCACAGGCAAGGGUGAAACGGCGAGGUAAGAGCUCACCGCGGACGUGGUAACACGGACGGCACGGCAAACCCCAUCUGGAGCAAGGCCAAAUAGGGAAGCGUACGGCGUGGCUCGCGCUGCUUCCGGGUAGGCUGCUUGAGCGGCGCGGCAACGCGUCGCCUAGAGGAAUGGUUGCCCACGACAGAACCCGGCUUAUCGGCCAGCUUCACUC